Molecule: long non-coding RNA, 1334 nt
Organism: Pecten maximus
Lineage: Eukaryota; Metazoa; Mollusca; Bivalvia; Pectinida; Pectinidae
Exons: 3
Source: RefSeq, a predicted model, not a curated record
AAUCACUGCUUUAUUUACAGGCACACGAAGUCAAAGACGUGUUAUUUCAAAUUGACCUGAAAAGACUUUCCGAGAAAACUAUCCGACAGCUCCAGAUUUUCAUCUCGAGAGUGAACGGGCCACCCAUUGGGAUCAAUGUGUAUGACAUGUUUAUUGUAGAUGCGUCCAGUAUGUUGAUGCUAUUUGGGACCAUUUUGACGUAUUCGAUAGUCAUCUUUCAGACAGCUGGCCCAGUCGUGUGCAGCAGCACGAAUACUACGAAUGUUAUAGUCGCCACAUCAUCGGCUAAUAUGACCUUCUGAAUCAUUACUGUCAAUAACUAGCUAAUAUUACGGCAUACACUUGUGUCUACAAAUAAUGUAUCGUCAUCAUUUGCCAGUAUAAGAUCAUGGAAAAUGACCUGGAAUACGAUUCAGACUGAAUGGUUAUCGCAUUUACCAGUAUCCACAGUUCAUGUGACGGGAUAGAAAACUGAAUGAUUGUCACAUUUACCAGUAUCCAUAUUUCUUGUGACGGGAUAGAUAACUGAAUGAUUAUCAUUGUCACAUUUACCAGUAUCCAUAUUUCAUGUGACGGGAUAGAAAACUGAAUGAUUAUCACAUUUACCAGUAUCCACAGUUCAUGUGACGGGAUAGAAAACUGAAAGAUUGUCACAUUUACCAGUAUCCAUAUUUCUUGUGACGGGAUAGAAAACUGAAAGAUUGUCACAUUUACCAGUAACCAUAUUUCUUGUGACGGGAUAACGGACUGAAUGAUUGUCACAUUUACCAGUAUCCACAGUUCAUGUGACGGGAUAGAAAACUGAAAGAUUGUCACAUUCACCAGUAUCCACAGUUCAUGUGACGGGAUAGAAAACUGAAAGAUUGUCACAUUUACCAGUAUCCAUAUUUCUUGUGACGGUAUAGAAUACUAAAUGAUUGUCACAUUUACCAGUAUCCAUAUUUCAUGUGACGGGAUAACGGACUGAAUGAUUGUCACAUUUACCAGUAUCCAUAUUUCAUGUGACGAGAUAGAAAACUGAAAGAUUGUCACACUUACCAGUAUCCAUAUUUCAUGUGACGGGAUAGAAAACUGAAAGAUUGUCACAUUUACCAGUAUCCAUAUUUCAUGUGACGGGAUAACGGACUGAAUAAUUGUCACAUUUACCAGUAUCCACAUUUCAUGUGACGGGAUAGAAAACUGAAAGAUUGUCACAUUUGCCAGUAUCCAUAUUUCAUGUGACGGGAUAGAAAACUAAAUGAUUGUCACAUUUACCAGUAUCCAUAUUUCUUGUGACGGGAUAGAAAACUGAAAGAUUGUCACAUUUACCAGUAUCCAUAUUUCUUGUGACGGGA